CUGGAACGCGCCCCAGGCGCACCCAGAAACCCUUUGUGAACUUAUACCUUACUGUUGCCUCGGCGCAUGCCGGCCCCCAGGGGCCCCUCGGAGACGAGGAGCAGGCACGCCGGCGGCCAACCUAACUCUUGUUUUUACACUGAAACUCUGAGAAAAAAAACAAAAUGAAUCA
RNAcentral lists this unclassified non-coding RNA (172 nucleotides) under uncultured Diaporthe. Its description in RNAcentral is "sequence contains ITS1". The record is from RNAcentral. Lineage: Eukaryota; Fungi; Ascomycota; Sordariomycetes; Diaporthales; Diaporthaceae.